RNAcentral lists this ribosomal RNA (732 nucleotides) under Klebsiella pneumoniae. Its description in RNAcentral is "bacterial SSU rRNA". It matches the Rfam family "Bacterial small subunit ribosomal RNA", at positions 1 to 720 of the family's 1533-position model. Lineage: Bacteria; Pseudomonadati; Pseudomonadota; Gammaproteobacteria; Enterobacterales; Enterobacteriaceae. The record is from RNAcentral.
ACUUAAAUUGAAGAGUUUGAUCAUGGCUCAGAUUGAACGCUGGCGGCAGGCCUAACACAUGCAAGUCGAGCGGUAGCACAGAGAGCUUGCUCUCGGGUGACGAGCGGCGGACGGGUGAGUAAUGUCUGGGAAACUGCCUGAUGGAGGGGGAUAACUACUGGAAACGGUAGCUAAUACCGCAUAAUGUCGCAAGACCAAAGUGGGGGACCUUCGGGCCUCAUGCCAUCAGAUGUGCCCAGAUGGGAUUAGCUUGUAGGUGGGGUAACGGCUCACCUAGGCGACGAUCCCUAGCUGGUCUGAGAGGAUGACCAGCCACACUGGAACUGAGACACGGUCCAGACUCCUACGGGAGGCAGCAGUGGGGAAUAUUGCACAAUGGGCGCAAGCCUGAUGCAGCCAUGCCGCGUGUGUGAAGAAGGCCUUCGGGUUGUAAAGCACUUUCAGCGGGGAGGAAGGCGGUGAGGUUAAUAACCUCAUCGAUUGACGUUACCCGCAGAAGAAGCACCGGCUAACUCCGUGCCAGCAGCCGCGGUAAUACGGAGGGUGCAAGCGUUAAUCGGAAUUACUGGGCGUAAAGCGCACGCAGGCGGUCUGUCAAGUCGGAUGUGAAAUCCCCGGGCUCAACCUGGGAACUGCAUUCGAAACUGGCAGGCUAGAGUCUUGUAGAGGGGGGUAGAAUUCCAGGUGUAGCGGUGAAAUGCGUAGAGAUCUGGAGGAAUACCGGUGGCGAAG